CUGAGUUUUUGUACUCUAUAAACCAUGUGUGAACGUACCUAUCUUGUAGUGAGAUGAAUGCUGUUUUGGUGGUAGGGCCCUUCUGAAGAGAGGGCACCGCUGCCAGCAGUAUUAGUCUUCGCCACUGUAAAACUCUUUUUAUUAUUUUCUAGAUUUUUCAUUGCUGAGUGGCAUAACUAUAAAAAAGUUAAAACUUUCAACAACGGAUCUCUUGGCUCUAGCAUCGAUGAAGAACGCAGCGAAAUGCGAUAAGUAAUGUGAAUUGCAGAAUUCAGUGAAUCAUCGAAUCUUUGAACGCACAUUGCGCCUGGCAGUAUUCUGCCAGGCAUGCCUGUCCGAGCGUCAUUUCACCACUCAAGAUUAUUCUUUCUUGGCGUUGGAGGUCCUGUUCUCCCCUGAACAGGCCGCCGAAAUGCAUCGGCUGUUAUACUUGCCAACUCCCCUGUGUAGUAUAAAAUUUCUAAUUUUUACACUUUGAAGUUCUUGUGUAACACGCCGCUAAACCCUCAACUUUUGUUGAACUUUCACAA
RNAcentral lists this ribosomal RNA (530 nucleotides) under Ceratocystis fimbriata. RNAcentral describes it as "eukaryotic LSU rRNA". The stretch from base 192 to 345 matches the Rfam family "5.8S ribosomal RNA". The record is from RNAcentral. Lineage: Eukaryota; Fungi; Ascomycota; Sordariomycetes; Microascales; Ceratocystidaceae.